Helianthus annuus (common sunflower) is the source of this 241-nucleotide long non-coding RNA. RefSeq lists it as uncharacterized. Lineage: Eukaryota; Viridiplantae; Streptophyta; Magnoliopsida; Asterales; Asteraceae. The record is from RefSeq and is a predicted model, not a curated record. The transcript is spliced from 3 exons.
GAACAGCGUCGAGACCGCCAAACUGAUCUGGUCUCGGCUGGCCAACGCCGAAGAUGGCAGUGACGCUGAGGGUGAUGAGGAUGGGGUUUUGAGAAGCGAGGGUUUUGAUGCUGUUGAGAGUCUUGAUUAUGAAGUUAUCGAGAAUUACGCCUAUCGCCAAGAACAGGCGCGAAGAGGAAAGCUAUAUGUUUGGUACAACGUGGGGGUGAAGUGGUUCUUUGCUUUGCUAAUUGGCAUAGGU